ACGAACGCUGGCGGCGUGCUUAACACCUGCAAGUCGAACGGAAAGGCCCUGCUUUUGUGGGGUGCUCGAGUGGCGAACGGGUGAGUAACACGUGAGUAACCUGCCCUUGACUUUGGGAUAACUUCAGGAAACUGGGGCUAAUACCGGAUAGGAGCUCCUGCUGCAUGGUGGGGGUUGGAAAGUUUCGGCGGUUGGGGAUGGACUCGCGGCUUAUCAGCUUGUUGGUGGGGUAGUGGCUUACCAAGGCUUUGACGGGUAGCCGGCCUGAGAGGGUGACCGGCCACAUUGGGACUGAGAUACGGCCCAGACUCCUACGGGAGGCAGCAGUGGGGAAUAUUGCACAAUGGGCGGAAGCCUGAUGCAGCAACGACGCGUGCGGGAUGACGGCCUUCGGGUUGUAAACCGCUUUCGCCUGUGACGAAGCGUGAGUGACGGUAAUGGGUAAAGAAGCACCGGCUAACUACGUG
Molecule: ribosomal RNA, 467 nt
Filed under: uncultured bacterium
Lineage: Bacteria
Description: partial 16S ribosomal RNA
Rfam family: Bacterial small subunit ribosomal RNA
Source: RNAcentral